GGAGCAGUGGCAGAGCGGCUGAUCGCGACGGUUUUGAAAACCGUUUUACCGCAAGGUAACGGGGGUUCGAAUCCCUCCUGCUCCG
RNAcentral lists this transfer RNA (85 nucleotides) under Sedimentisphaerales bacterium. RNAcentral's name for it is "tRNA-Ser". It matches the Rfam family "tRNA". From Rfam's summary of the family: Transfer RNA (tRNA) molecules are approximately 80 nucleotides in length. Their secondary structure includes four short double-helical elements and three loops (D, anti-codon, and T loops). The record is from RNAcentral. Lineage: Bacteria; Pseudomonadati; Planctomycetota; Phycisphaerae; Sedimentisphaerales.